This 550-nucleotide ribosomal RNA is filed under the name Chaetomium globosum. RNAcentral's name for it is "eukaryotic LSU rRNA". The stretch from base 177 to 330 matches the Rfam family "5.8S ribosomal RNA". Lineage: Eukaryota; Fungi; Ascomycota; Sordariomycetes; Sordariales; Chaetomiaceae. The record is from RNAcentral.
AAGAGACUGCCGGCAACCUAAAACCAUUGUGACGUUACCUAUACCGUUGCUUCGGCGGGCGGCCCCGGGCCUUUACCCCCCGGGCGCCCCUGGGCCCCACCGCGGGCGCCCGCCGGAGGUCACCAAACUCUUGAUAAUUUAUGGCCUCUCUGAGUCUUCUGUACUGAAUAAGUCAAAACUUUCAACAACGGAUCUCUUGGUUCUGGCAUCGAUGAAGAACGCAGCGAAAUGCGAUAAGUAAUGUGAAUUGCAAAAUUCAGUGAAUCAUCGAAUCUUUGAACGCACAUUGCGCCCGCCAGCAUUCUGGCGGGCAUGCCUGUUCGAGCGUCAUUUCAACCAUCAAGCCCCCGGGCUUGUGUUGGGGACCUGCGGCUGCCGCAGGCCCUGAAAAGCAGUGGCGGGCUCGCUGUCGCACCGAGCGUAGUAGCAUACAUCUCGCUCUGGUCGCGCCGCGGGUUCCGGCCGUUAAACCACCUUUUUAACCCAAGGUUGACCUCGGAUCAGGUAGGAAAGACCCGCUGAACUUAAGCAUAUCAAUAAGCGGAGGGAA